AACGAACGCUGGCGGCAUGCCUAACACAUGCAAGUCGAACGAGACCUUCGGUUCUAGUGGCGCACGGGUGCGUAACGCGUGGGAAUCUGCCCUUCGGUUGUGAAUAACUGAGAGAAAUUUCAGCUAAUACCUUAUAAUGUCUUCGGACCAAAGAUUUAUCGCCGAGGGAUGAGCCCGCGUAGGAUUAGGUAGUUGGUGGGGUAAUGGCCUACCAAGCCGACGAUCCUUAGCUGGUCUGAGAGGAUGAUCAGCCACACUGGGACUGAGACACGGCCCAGACUCCUACGGGAGGCAGCAGUGGGGAAUAUUGGACAAUGGGCGAAAGGCUGAUCCAGCAAUGCCGCGUGAGUGAUGAAGGCCUUAGGGUUGUAAAGCUCUUUUAACCGGGAUGAUAAUGACAGUACCGGGAGAAUAAGCUCCGGCUAACUACGUG
This 433-nucleotide ribosomal RNA is filed under the name uncultured bacterium. RNAcentral's name for it is "partial 16S ribosomal RNA". It matches the Rfam family "Bacterial small subunit ribosomal RNA", at positions 29 to 507 of the family's 1533-position model. The record is from RNAcentral.